RNAcentral lists this ribosomal RNA (2897 nucleotides) under Xanthomonas oryzae. Its description in RNAcentral is "bacterial LSU rRNA". It matches the Rfam family "Bacterial large subunit ribosomal RNA". Lineage: Bacteria; Pseudomonadati; Pseudomonadota; Gammaproteobacteria; Lysobacterales; Lysobacteraceae. The record is from RNAcentral. RNAcentral also lists the same sequence under 1 other name.
GUUAUAUGGUCAAGCGAAUAAGCGCACACGGUGGAUGCCUAGGCGGUCAGAGGCGAUGAAGGACGUGGUAGCCUGCGAAAAGUGUCGGGGAGCUGGCAACAAGCUUUGAUCCGGCAAUAUCCGAAUGGGGAAACCCACUGCUUCGGCAGUAUCCUGCAGUGAAUUCAUAGCUGCUGGAAGCGAACCCGGUGAACUGAAAUAUCUAAGUAACCGGAGGAAAAGAAAUCAACCGAGAUUCCCUAAGUAGUGACGAGCGAACGGGGAGCAGCCCUUAAGCUGGAAUGGCUUUAGAAAAACAAUCUGGAAAGAUUGGCCAUAGAAGGUGAUAGCCCUGUAUUUAAAAGGGCCACUCCAGUGAAGACGAGUAGGGCGGGGCACGUGAAACCCUGUCUGAAUAUGGGGGGACCAUCCUCCAAGGCUAAAUACUCCUGACCGACCGAUAGUGAACCAGUACCGUGAGGGAAAGGCGAAAAGAACCCCGGAGAGGGGAGUGAAAUAGAUCCUGAAACCGUGUGCGUACAAGCAGUAGGAGCUCGCAAGAGUGACUGCGUACCUUUUGUAUAAUGGGUCAGCGACUUACUGUUCGUGGCAAGCUUAACCGUAUAGGGGAGGCGAAGGGAAACCGAGUCUGAUAAGGGCGCAUAGUCGCGGGCAGUAGACCCGAAACCGGGUGAUCUAGUCAUGGCCAGGGUGAAGGUGCCGUAACAGGUACUGGAGGCCCGAACCCACGUCUGUUGCAAAAGACGGGGAUGAGCUGUGAUUAGGAGUGAAAAGCUAAUCGAACCCGGAGAUAGCUGGUUCUCCUCGAAAGCUAUUUAGGUAGCGCCUCGGACGAAUACUACUGGGGGUAGAGCACUGUUAUGGCUAGGGGGUCAUCGCGACUUACCAAACCAUUGCAAACUCCGAAUACCAGUACGUACUAUCCGGGAGACACACGGCGGGUGCUAACGUCCGUCGUGAAAAGGGAAACAACCCAGACCCACAGCUAAGGUCCCAAAUUCACUGCUAAGUGGAAAACGAUGUGGAAAGGCAUAGACAGCCAGGAGGUUGGCUUAGAAGCAGCCACCCUUUAAAGAAAGCGUAAUAGCUCACUGGUCGAGUCGGUCUGCGCGGAAGAUUUAACGGGGCUAAGCAGUGAACCGAAGCUUGGGGUGCGUAAAACUUCGGUUUUAUGCGCGGUAGAGGAGCGUUCCGUAAGCCUGCGAAGGUGGAUUGAGAAGUCUGCUGGAGGUAUCGGAAGUGCGAAUGCUGACAUGAGUAACGAUAAUGCGGGUGAAAAGCCCGCACGCCGAAAGCCCAAGGUUUCCUUGCGCAACGUUAAUCGACGCAGGGUUAGUCGGUCCCUAAGGCGAGGGCGAAAGCCGUAGUCGAUGGGAAGCAGGUUAAUAUUCCUGCACCUCGCGUGAGUGCGAUGGAGGGACGGAGAAGGUUAGGUGUACCGGGCGUUGGUUGUCCCGGGGAAAGGCGGUAGGUUUGGAUCUUUGGCAAAUCCGGGAUCCUUUAAGACCGAGCACCGAGACGAGCCUUUAUGGCGAAGUCACUGAUACCACGCUUCCAGGAAAAGCUCCUAAGCUUCAGCUCACGAAGACCGUACCGUAAACCGACACAGGUGGGUAGGAUGAGAAUUCUCAGGCGCUUGAGAGAACUCGGGUGAAGGAACUAGGCAACAUGGCACCGUAACUUCGGGAGAAGGUGCACCCUUUUUGGUGGCUCAUGCGAGCUAUAGCUGAAGAGGGUCGCAGAAACCAGGCCGCUGCGACUGUUUAUCAAAAACACAGCACUCUGCAAACACGAAAGUGGACGUAUAGGGUGUGACGCCUGCCCGGUGCUGGAAGGUUAAUUGAUGGGGUCAGCCGCAAGGCGAAGCUCUUGAUCGAAGCCCCAGUAAACGGCGGCCGUAACUAUAACGGUCCUAAGGUAGCGAAAUUCCUUGUCGGGUAAGUUCCGACCUGCACGAAUGGCGUAACGACAGCGGCGCUGUCUCCACCCGAGACUCAGUGAAAUUGAAAUCGCUGUGAAGAUGCAGCGUUCCCGUGGCAAGACGGAAAGACCCCGUGAACCUUUACUAUAGCUUUACACUGAACGUUGAGUUCGUCUGUGUAGGAUAGGUGGGAGGCUAUGAAACUGUGGCGCUAGCUGCAGUGGAGCCAUCCUUGAAAUACCACCCUGUCGUGCUUGACGUUCUAACCUAGGUCCGUUAUCCGGAUCAGGGACCGUGUAUGGUGGGUAGUUUGACUGGGGCGGUCUCCUCCUAAAGAGUAACGGAGGAGCACGAAGGUACGCUCAGCGCGGUCGGACAUCGCGCACUGUGUGCAAAGGCAUAAGCGUGCUUGACUGCAAGAUCGACGGAUCAAGCAGGUACGAAAGUAGGUCUUAGUGAUCCGGUGGUUCUGUAUGGAAGGGCCAUCGCUCAACGGAUAAAAGGUACUCCGGGGAUAACAGGCUGAUACCGCCCAAGAGUUCAUAUCGACGGCGGUGUUUGGCACCUCGAUGUCGGCUCAUCACAUCCUGGGGCUGUAGUCGGUCCCAAGGGUAUGGCUGUUCGCCAUUUAAAGUGGUACGCGAGCUGGGUUCAGAACGUCGUGAGACAGUUCGGUCCCUAUCUGCCAUGGGCGUUGGAAGUUUGAGAGGGGCUGCUCCUAGUACGAGAGGACCGGAGUGGACGAACCUCUGGUGUUCCGGUUGUCACGCCAGUGGCAUUGCCGGGUAGCUAUGUUCGGAAGCGAUAACCGCUGAAAGCAUCUAAGCGGGAAGCGCGCCUCAAGAUGAGACUUCCCGGGGCACAAGCCCCCUAAAGGAACCAUGUAGACUACGUGGUUGAUAGGUCAGGUGUGUAAGUACAGCAAUGUAUUGAGCUAACUGAUACUAAUGAUCCGUGCGGCUUGACCAUAUAACCU